CUAGCUUUGAACAAAUA
RNAcentral lists this small RNA (17 nucleotides) under Arabidopsis thaliana (thale cress). RNAcentral's name for it is "ATSL295740". Lineage: Eukaryota; Viridiplantae; Streptophyta; Magnoliopsida; Brassicales; Brassicaceae. The record is from RNAcentral.